Long non-coding RNA from Heterocephalus glaber (naked mole-rat), 926 nucleotides. The record is from Ensembl. NCBI's taxonomy places the organism in Eukaryota, Metazoa, Chordata, Mammalia, Rodentia, Bathyergidae.
GUGCUUUUAAAGCUUCUUUUACAGCCUCCUACAAAUCUGCUUGAGCUCUGCUGUCACAGCUCACCCAAGAGAUGACUCCUUUAGAGUAAAAGUUCAAUGUCUGCCAGCAGACCAAAUCUCGUGAGAACUGAUUAGCUGAAUUUUCCAAACAAACAAGGUGAGGAGAGGGAGGAAGAACUUGACCUUGUUCUUGAGAUGGGAACCGCUCAACAGCACGUGUAAAAUGCCCCCAGAGGGAAGCACAAGAUUUUCACCAGUUCAGCUCAAGUUCUGCUGCCUAAUCAUUUUCUUAUCACCAGAGAUUACAUAUUUACACAGGUGCCUCUCUGGUUUAAUUGUUUGGAAGCAGUCACUGGGAGCAGAGCAGUGUGACUCAGCUUUGGUGAAGCAGUCCAGCUGCGGUCUGACAGCCUAAAUUGAGGGCACAGCUCUGCCCCUGGCAGAGCUCCCACUGUGGCCUCGAAUGUGGGGACCUAGAGAAGUGGAGAGAACACCCCAGUGCCACUGUCCAGAGGAAAGGCCAGCCUCUGCCGGAAACCGCGCUGACUAACUGAGGCCCUCGGAGACACAGUGCCAUGUGCUGACUCAGGAAAAGCUAGGGCAACCUGCUGGAAACAUUUGCAGGCCUGGAAAAUGAAUGGUUUAAUAAUUCAAGAUGCUUUUAAGUUUAAAAAAACAUAAAAACAAAUAAACCUCCCUUUUCCAAAGUGAUGUUGUAUGGUGAGAGUCUUUCGAAAAGGAAGAAACAGAGCUCAUGCUAAGAAGCAAACCCAGCUUUAUGAAACUCUUCAACAAUUGACAAAUAACCUUAACACCCUACACCCCGCUGGAUAAAUGGAAAUGUAUUUUUCAUGAGUUUGAAAUACUUUGAUGAAAAGUGAGAUAUUUAUUCGGCAUUCCAUAUAUUAUUUUCAUCUGUGUGUCGC